This 581-nucleotide ribosomal RNA is filed under the name uncultured Galactomyces. RNAcentral's name for it is "partial large subunit ribosomal RNA". It matches the Rfam family "Eukaryotic large subunit ribosomal RNA", at positions 67 to 664 of the family's 3401-position model. Lineage: Eukaryota; Fungi; Ascomycota; Dipodascomycetes; Dipodascales; Dipodascaceae. The record is from RNAcentral.
AACCGGGAUUCCCUAGUACGGCGAGUGAAGCGGCAAAAGCUUCCAAAUUUUGAAAUUCCGGCCUUCCAGGGUCGAAGUUUGUAAUUUUGUAGAUUUGUAUUUUGAGAAGCGGAUUAAAGUCUGUUGGAACACAGCGCCUUAGAGGGUGACAGCCCCGUAAAAUCUAUUCUCAUUGUAAGAUACUUUCGAAGAGUCGAGUUGUUUGGGAAUGCAGCUCUAAGUGGGAGGUAAAUUCCUUCUAAAGCUAAAUAUUGACGAGAGACCGAUAGCGAACAAGUACUGUGAAGGAAAGAUGAAAAGCACUUUGAAAAGAGAGUGAAAAAGUACGUGAAAUUGUUAAAAGGGAAGGGUAUUGAAUCAGACUUGGUGCUGUUGUUCAACUGUGUUUUGGCAUAGUGUACUCAGCAGUACUAGGCCAAGGUGGGGUGUUUGGGAGUGAAAAAGAAGUAGGAAGGUAGCUCUUCGGAGUGUUAUAGACUACUUUCAUAGCUCCUUAGGCGCCUCAGGACUGCGCUUCGGCAAGGACCUUGGCAUAAUGAUUCUAUACCGCCCGUCUGAAAACACGAGACACACACAGUAAA